GUGUCAGCAGCCGCGGUAAUACGUAGGUGGCAAGCGUUGUCCGGAUUUAUUGGGUUUAAAGGGUGCGUAGGCGGCGCCAUAAGUCAGUGCUGAAAUAUCCCGGCUUAACCGGGAGGGUGGCAUUGAUACUGUGGUGCUUGAGUGUAGUCGAGGUAGGCGGAAUUGACGGUGUAGCGGUGAAAUGCUUAGAUAUCGUCAAGAACACCGAUAGUGUAGACAGCUUACUAGGCUACAACUGACGCUGAGGCACGAAAGUGUGGGGAUCAAACAGGAUUAGAUACCCUGGUAGUCC
This 292-nucleotide ribosomal RNA is filed under the name uncultured bacterium. RNAcentral's name for it is "partial 16S ribosomal RNA". It matches the Rfam family "Bacterial small subunit ribosomal RNA", at positions 505 to 796 of the family's 1533-position model. The record is from RNAcentral.